AUGUUGCGAUAUGACCUUGAAGACCAGCUCUCAACCAUUUACACGGAUGAAGAGGCCUACUAGUGACUGCGCGGUACCCAACGGUGGGUGCUUGGGGGUGAUGCCAACACCGCCUAUUUCCAGGCGGUGGCGAACGGCCGGCGACGUCGAAACUCCAUCCACUGCCUAUGGGACGGAGACACGCCUCUCGUUCGCCCCACGGCCAUCCGUGCCCAUGUAGACGGCUUCUAUAAAGCCAUAUUUACCCCCAUCCCUCGGGGUGGGGCUAGUCUCGCCCCCGACAUUUGGUCGGGUGAUCAAUUGGUCUCUGUUGAGGCCAAUGCGGCAUUAGUGGCCCCCUUCGCCGAGGACGAGGUCCUCGCGGCUAUUAAGGGGAUGAACCCCUCCUCGGCCCCGGGACCGGAUGGCCUGCCCGUAACGUUCUUCAAAAUGUUCUAG
Molecule: ribosomal RNA, 438 nt
Filed under: Triticum aestivum (bread wheat)
Lineage: Eukaryota; Viridiplantae; Streptophyta; Magnoliopsida; Poales; Poaceae
Description: partial small subunit ribosomal RNA
Source: RNAcentral